This 474-nucleotide ribosomal RNA is filed under the name uncultured bacterium. Its description in RNAcentral is "partial 16S ribosomal RNA". It matches the Rfam family "Bacterial small subunit ribosomal RNA", at positions 28 to 507 of the family's 1533-position model. The record is from RNAcentral.
GAUGAACGCUCGCGGCAGGCCUAACACAUGCAAGUCGAGGGAGGAGCUUUCGGGCUUCGACCGGCGUACGGGUGCGUAACGCGUAUACAAUCUGCCUUUCACAUAGGGAUAGCCCGAAGAAAUUUGGAUUAAUACCUAAUGGUAUAUAGGAGUGGCCUCACAUUUAUAUUAAGGCUGAGGCGGUGAAAGAUGAGUAUGCGUUCUAUUAGCUAGUUGGAGAGGUAACGGCUCCCCACGGCGACGAUAGAUAGGGGUUCUGAGAGGGAUAUCCCCCACACUGGUACUGGGAUACGGGCCAGACUCAUACGGCAGGCAGCCGUGAGGGAUAUAGGACUAGGGUCGGUAGACUGAUCCAGCCAUGCCGGAUGCAGGAAGGCCGCCUUAGGGGUUGUAAACUGCUUUUGCAGGGGAAGAAUAAGGACUACGAGUAGUUUGAUGACGGUACUCUGCGAAUAAGCAUCGGCUAACUCCGUG